Lagenorhynchus albirostris (white-beaked dolphin) is the source of this 371-nucleotide long non-coding RNA. RefSeq lists it as uncharacterized. The transcript has 3 exons. The record is from RefSeq and is a predicted model, not a curated record. Lineage: Eukaryota; Metazoa; Chordata; Mammalia; Artiodactyla; Delphinidae.
GAAACAAAAAUUCUAACAUGCCCACUGAACAUGAGGCAUAUGAAGUUGGAAAUCUGGAAAUUACCUAGAUCCCCAUUUCCCUGAGUGAAUACAAAAUAAGGAAUGAUUCAGAAAUGCCUGGACAGCUUUUGAGGGCUAAGUGGCCCAGGCCCUCAGCAGUCUGUUUGCAUGAGUGAUCAAGAAACAUCCUGGAAGAUAAGUCAAUCGGAGCCAGAACAAGAGAGAAGAAAAAGAGCAGAUGACAAAAAGAUUUCUUGAGAGCACACACGGAUCAGCACCAGCCUCCCAGGCUCCCAUGUUUGGAGGAGAAUCUGAGGGGUCUAGAAGGUCUCAAUGGGGAGGGGGUCAGUGAAAUAAAAAGACAAACACUA